GAGUUUGAUCCUGGCUCAGAUUGAACGCUGGCGGGAUGCUUUACACAUGCAAGUCGGACGGCAGCACGGGGCUUCGGCCUGGUGGCGAGUGGCGAACGGGUGAGUAAUGUAUCGGAACGUGCCCGGUAGCGGGGAUAACUACGCGAAAGCGUGGCUAAUACCGCAUACGCCCUACGGGGGAAAGCGGGGACCUUCGGCCUCGCACUAUUGGAGCGGCCGAUAUCGGAUUAGCUAGUUGGUGGGGUAACGGCCUACCAAGGCGACGAUCCGUAGCUGGUUUGAGAGGACGACCAGUCACACUGGGACUGAGACACGGCCCAGACUCCUACGGGAGGCAGCAGUGGGGAAUUUUGGACAAUGGGGCAACCCUGAUCCAGCCAUCCCGCGUGUGCGAUGAAGGCCUUCGGGUUGUAAAGCACUUUUGGCAGGAAAGAAACGGCACGGGCUAAUAUCCUGUGCAACUGACGGUACCUGCAGAAUAAGCACCGGCUAACUACGUGCCAGCAGCCGCGGUAAUACGUAGGGUGCAAGCGUUAAUCGGAAUUACUGGGCGUAAAGCGUGCGCAGGCGGUUCGGAAAGAAAGAUGUGAAAUCCCAGGGCUUAACCUUGGAACUGCAUUUUUAACUACCGAGCUAGAGUGUGUCAGAGGGAGGUGGAAUUCCGCGUGUAGCAGUGAAAUGCGUAGAUAUGCGGAGGAACACCGAUGGCGAAGGCAGCCUCCUGGGAUAACACUGACGCUCAUGCACGAAAGUGUGGGGAGCAAACAGGAUUAGAUACCCUGGUAGUCCACGCCCUAAACGAUGUCAACUAGCUGUUGGGGCCUUCGGGCCUUGGUAGCGCAGCUAACGCGUGAAGUUGACCGCCUGGGGAGUACGGUCGCAAGAUUAAAACUCAAAGGAAUUGACGGGGACCCGCACAAGCGGUGGAUGAUGUGGAUUAAUUCGAUGCAACGCGAAAAACCUUACCUACCCUUGACAUGUCUGGAAUCCCGAAGAGAUUUGGGAGUGCUCGCAAGAGAACCGGAACACAGGUGCUGCAUGGCUGUCGUCAGCUCGUGUCGUGAGAUGUUGGGUUAAGUCCCGCAACGAGCGCAACCCUUGUCAUUAGUUGCUACGAAAGGGCACUCUAAUGAGACUGCCGGUGACAAACCGGAGGAAGGUGGGAUGACGUCAAGUCCUCAUGGCCCUUAUGGGUAGGGCUUCACACGUCAUACAAUGGUCGGGACAGAGGGUUGCCAACCCGCGAGGGGGAGCCAAUCCCAGAAACCCGGUCGUAGUCCGGAUCGCAGUCUGCAACUCGACUGCGUGAAGUCGGAAUCGCUAGUAAUCGCGGAUCAGCAUGUCGCGGUGAAUACGUUCCCGGGUCUUGUACACACCGCCCGUCACACCAUGGGAGUGGGUUUUACCAGAAGUAGUUAGCCUAACCGCAAGGGGGCGAUUACCACGGUAGGAUUCAUGACUGGGGUGAAGUCGUAACAAGGUAGCCGUAUCGGAAGGUGCGGCUGGAUCACC
RNAcentral lists this ribosomal RNA (1512 nucleotides) under Bordetella holmesii 70147. RNAcentral describes it as "bacterial SSU rRNA". It matches the Rfam family "Bacterial small subunit ribosomal RNA". The record is from RNAcentral. Lineage: Bacteria; Pseudomonadati; Pseudomonadota; Betaproteobacteria; Burkholderiales; Alcaligenaceae.